This 243-nucleotide long non-coding RNA is filed under the name Ananas comosus (pineapple). RNAcentral's name for it is "long non-coding RNA (ACOM_LNC011336)". The record is from RNAcentral. Lineage: Eukaryota; Viridiplantae; Streptophyta; Magnoliopsida; Poales; Bromeliaceae.
GACUAUUUCGCUUAUUUUUUAUAGAUUUCACUAGUAAACUUUACGCAAUUCUCGCAACUAUAAAUUAAUUAAAAUAAGUACUGGUCUUAAAUUUGAAGUCAAAAUAUCGUUGACUGACUCAAAUAAAACAAAUAAAAAAGUCGGAUAGUAAAAUUAAAAUUUUGAAAGAUUUAGUAGUCAAAUCAUAAUGAUCCAUAACUUAGAUAAAUUUCACACGUUUUUUUUUUUUCAUCAACAAAAUAA